Molecule: unclassified non-coding RNA, 376 nt
Filed under: soil metagenome
Description: partial contains 5.8S ribosomal RNA, internal transcribed spacer 2, and large subunit ribosomal RNA
Rfam family: 5.8S ribosomal RNA (bases 1-120)
Source: RNAcentral
GAUGAAGAACGUAGCGAAAUGCGAUAAGUAAUGUGAAUUGCAGAAUUCAGUGAAUCAUCGAAUCUUUGAACGCAUCUUGCGCUCCUUGGUAUUCUGAGGAGCAUGCCUGUUUGAGUAUCAUUAAAUUCUCAACUACACUGACUUUGAAUUGGUGUGGCUUGGAUUUGGGGGGAAAAUUGUUGUGGGCUUUUUGUAUAGUCUGCUCCCCUGAAAUUGAUUAGCGGUACCUUUGUGGAACUGUCUACAGGUGUGAUAAUUAUCUACAUCUUAGACAUCUGCUGGAAUGCUGCUUUCUAAACCUUACUUGUAUUGACAAUCUUGACCUCAAAUCAGGUAGGACUACCCGCUGAACUUAAGCAUAUCAAUAAGCGGAGGA